This 2099-nucleotide ribosomal RNA is filed under the name Neisseria macacae. RNAcentral describes it as "bacterial LSU rRNA". It matches the Rfam family "Bacterial large subunit ribosomal RNA", at positions 129 to 2266 of the family's 2925-position model. The record is from RNAcentral. Lineage: Bacteria; Pseudomonadati; Pseudomonadota; Betaproteobacteria; Neisseriales; Neisseriaceae.
CACUGCAUUCUGUGCAGUAUCCUAAGUUGAAUACAUAGACUUAGAGAAGCGAACCCGGAGAACUGAACCAUCUAAGUACCCGGAGGAAAAGAAAUCAACCGAGAUUCCGCAAGUAGUGGCGAGCGAACGCGGAGGAGCCUGUACGUAAUAACUGUCGAGAUAGAAGAACAAGCUGGGAAGCUUGACCAUAGUGGGUGAUAGUCCCGUAUUCGAAAUCUCAACGGUGGUACUAAGCGUACGAAAAGUAGGGCGGGACACGUGAAAUCCUGUCUGAAUAUGGGGGGACCAUCCUCCAAGGCUAAAUACUCAUCAUCGACCGAUAGUGAACCAGUACCGUGAGGGAAAGGCGAAAAGAACCCCGGGAGGGGAGUGAAAUAGAACCUGAAACCUGAUGCAUACAAACAGUGGGAGCACCCAUGUGGUGUGACUGCGUACCUUUUGUAUAAUGGGUCAACGACUUACAUUCAGUAGCGAGCUUAACCGAAUAGGGGAGGCGUAGGGAAACCGAGUCUUAAUAGGGCGAAGAGUUGCUGGGUGUAGACCCGAAACCGAGUGAUCUAUCCAUGGCCAGGUUGAAGGUGCCGUAACAGGUACUGGAGGACCGAACCCACGCAUGUUGCAAAAUGCGGGGAUGAGCUGUGGAUAGGGGUGAAAGGCUAAACAAACUCGGAGAUAGCUGGUUCUCCCCGAAAACUAUUUAGGUAGUGCCUCGAGCAAGACACUGAUGGGGGUAAAGCACUGUUAUGGCUAGGGGGUUAUUGCAACUUACCAACCCAUGGCAAACUAAGAAUACCAUCAAGUGGUUCCUCGGGAGACAGACAGCGGGUGCUAACGUCCGUUGUCAAGAGGGAAACAACCCAGACCGCCAGCUAAGGUCCCAAAUGAUAGAUUAAGUGGUAAACGAAGUGGGAAGGCCCAGACAGCCAGGAUGUUGGCUUAGAAGCAGCCAUCAUUUAAAGAAAGCGUAAUAGCUCACUGGUCGAGUCGUCCUGCGCGGAAGAUGUAACGGGGCUCAAAUCUAUAACCGAAGCUGCGGAUGCCAGUUUACUGGCAUGGUAGGGGAGCGUUCUGUAGGCCGAUGAAGGUGCAUUGUAAAGUGUGCUGGAGGUAUCAGAAGUGCGAAUGUUGACAUGAGUAGCGAUAAAGCGGGUGAAAAGCCCGCUCGCCGAAAGCCCAAGGUUUCCUACGCAACGUUCAUCGGCGUAGGGUGAGUCGGCCCCUAAGGUGAGGCAGAAAUGCGUAGUCGAUGGGAAACAGGUUAAUAUUCCUGUACUUGAUUCAAAUGCGAUGUGGGGACGGAGAAGGUUAGGUUAGCAAGCUGUUGGAAUAGCUUGUUUAAGCCGGUAGGUGGAAGACUUAGGCAAAUCCGGGUCUUCUUAACACCGAGAAGUGACGACGAGUGUCUACGGACAUGAAGUAACCGAUACCACGCUUCCAGGAAAAGCCACUAAGCUUCAGUUUGAAUCGAACCGUACCGCAAACCGACACAGGUGGGCAGGAUGAGAAUUCUAAGGCGCUUGAGAGAACUCGGGAGAAGGAACUCGGCAAAUUGAUACCGUAACUUCGGGAGAAGGUAUGCCCUCUAAGGUUAAGGACUUGCUCCGUAAGCCUCGGAGGGUCGCAGAGAAUAGGUGGCUGCGACUGUUUAUUAAAAACACAGCACUCUGCUAACACGAAAGUGGACGUAUAGGGUGUGACGCCUGCCCGGUGCUGGAAGGUUAAUUGAAGAUGUGAGAGCAUCGGAUCGAAGCCCCAGUAAACGGCGGCCGUAACUAUAACGGUCCUAAGGUAGCGAAAUUCCUUGUCGGGUAAGUUCCGACCCGCACGAAUGGCGUAACGAUGGCCACACUGUCUCCUCCCGAGACUCAGCGAAGUUGAAGUGGUUGUGAAGAUGCAAUCUACCCGCUGCUAGACGGAAAGACCCCGUGAACCUUUACUGUAGCUUUGCAUUGGACUUUGAAGUCACUUGUGUAGGAUAGGUGGGAGGCUUAGAAGCAGAGACGCCAGUCUCUGUGGAGCCGUCCUUGAAAUACCACCCUGGUGUCUUUGAGGUUCUAACCCAGACCCGUAAUCCGGGUCGGGGACCGUGCAUGGUAGGC